AGGGCGGGAGGUGGGUGGGGAGGUGAGCCCAUGGCUGGCCAGGGGCAGUGACCAAUGAUGCCAGUUUUCAGGGGAGCUAAUUAAGGCCAGAGAGAUUAGGAGGCUUGCAAAGUCACAGAUUCUGGAGCAAUGCCAACCCUGAAGGUCCAAGGACGUCAAUCACCUCCCCCCCAAGCCCCCACCACCAUGUACCCUGUGACCAGCACAAGGCCUUCCUCCACAGCCCCUCCUGUUGCCCUUGGGCAGGAGCCCAGGGCUUCUUCGUUCUCCAGCCCCACCCCUGGUGCCCUGAGCCAGAAGUCUUGGCAGCCCUCUCUGCUCCCCACAUCCCUAGAAAUCAGACCAAGACAUUUCCCUGCUUAGGACCCAAUCAGGGCCCCCUUGGCCCAAGGACAAAGUCCAAACUCCUCAGUGUGGCUCCCAAGGGCCCAAGAUCCAGCCCCACCCUGGCUGCUCUCACUCAGCUCUCCCUGACGUGCUUUCCAGAUGGAAAUUUCUGGAACGCAUAUAAUGGGCGUCUUGCCCCCAGCACUUUGCACAUGCUGUUCCCACUUUUCUGUGUGUGGCUAACUCUGACCCCCAAUAGGUCUUGUUCCUAGCCACCCUGAAAGGCCCAAAGUCCUCAAGCAUGACAGUCGUUGGCAGUGCCUGGCUCAGGCUGGUCUGGCACAGCAGAGACACUCAAUAGGACAAAGGGAAAGUUCAAAGGCCAACUCUUCCCAGGAAUGUGCAUAAGCCCCCAACCUACACUGGAACCCCAUGAAGUCUCGAGCACUCCUUUCCCAGGAAGGGCAGGCAAAGGCCCAAGUCCUCAGGGAUGCAAACUUACAGCCUGACAGAUACAUAAUGAUUCCAGGGAAGCUCAGGGCUUGGCGCUCCCUUAGCCGAGGACGAGCUGGGCCCAGCAUACUCCCUGCAGGAACCAGAGCUUACUCUGUGUUCCAUGGCAAGAGCCAAGCAACUUGAGCUAACCAUUCUCCAACCAACCCUGGCUCUCCAGGGCUUUCUCAAUCCUGCGUGUCUGCAUCCUGCCCACGCUGCUGCCCUGGGGACAGGCUGCUACCCCGUUUACGGGGAGGAUUCCGGACAGCCCAAGUGACACUGAACCUCACACCAGCCUCUCCUUGCAACCAGCAGGUCAGAGGGUGGACUACGCAGGAUGAGCCACAUGUCCAGUCUCCACUGGCUAUGGAGGUCGGCCGACCUUGCUCUGCAAACCCGUGGUUGCUUCCAGGUCCCAGAGAGGGACAAAGACCUACUGGCCCCUCGCUCAGUUACGUACUGCAGCAAUGGCUGCUAUAGUCACACUGGAGCUGCCCAGAGCCCUGCCGCCACAAGUGCAGUAGCCAAACCAGGAGGAAGGUUCUAGUGGAAGACCUCGCAUAAUAUACAUCACAAGAUGCAGGGCACAGAGCCUCACAGAACUAAAAACAGGUCCUGACACGCGUAGGAGGGAGAAGAGGACAAGCGGCUGUUUUGUGGGCAGGCGGGACGCAGAUGGGGAUACCGAGGCUGAAGAGACUGAGGAACUCGCUCGGCACUACAGAGCCAGUAAAGAGAACCCCACUGGCUGGAAGUCCGCUCAUUCCAAGCCCACGCCCCAAAGAGCAGCCCCGACUGGACCAAGAGUGAUUCUGCCAGGCAGUGGAGUAUCAACCUUGAUCCAUGGUGGCUACAUCUGAGCUGGUUUUUCAGAGAGAAUUCUUCAGAAAAGGAGAAAAAACAUCCCAGGGGGGGAAAAAUCUGUCAUUAUUACAAAUGUGAUGGCAUAUAAAAUAUGCAAUUUUUAAAAAUUCACCCACAUAAAGUCAGCUUUCAAGAUACUAAAAAAUAUUCUUUUCAUUUUGGGAACACAAAUCACAGUCCAUACAACACUGGGGCCUGCGUCUCGGCCUCCAGGAAGAUGACUCGGGUGGCAGUGCUUAGGUCCAGGAUCCAACGACAGCCCAUCCAGCAAGGUCAAAUGAAGGUUCUGGUCUGAGGGUCCCACAGAUGAGACACUCACUGCCUCGGAGAGGACGGAGCUUUACCACACCUUGCCCCAGCUUUGGAAUUCUCAGUCAGCCAUCCCCCCAGAAGCUCGCCACAGGGCAGUCUCAGCCUGCCCUCACACUCUCAACGCAGGGUGGCUGCUUCUCUACAUGGGGGGAACUGAAGGCCAGAAAUGGCCCUCAACCCCCACAGGACAGCUGCCAAGGAAAGGCUCGAGGGGGAUUCCCACAUCCCACCGCCUUUCCUGAGAAGAGCUGCCUAGGGGAGGUCCAGUGGCUGCAGGAAGCCAGGGCCAUGCCCACUUCCUGCACUGGCUUCCUGGUAAAAAGGAAGAAGGGAAACAUGGAGAAGGGUGGCUGCUCAAAGGACCACCAGCAAGCAGGCUGGGGCCCCCAGCCUAACCAACCUGAGGCUCUAGCCCUCUCAUCUGGAGUUCAUCUGUGCGAUGGUACCUGGGUGCCUGCGAGCAGAGAGCCAUGGAAAACCAGGAGGCUCCCACUCACGCACUGGGGCCAUGAGCCUCAGUCGCCUUUUACUGUUGCGAAGCCUCAGGCUUUCCUGAGCAAGCCUGUUUUCUUGUGUCCAAGACAGGAAUGUGGACCAGUGCAAUGACACACAUGGGUCGUCCUUCCAGAUCACCUGAGAGCGGACAGGACAAGGCCUGGAACGCGAGAAUGAGGACGGGUUCAGCGGUGAGCCGCGGAGAAGUAUAGCCAAGGCCCCUCUAGACAACGGACCAAUGACCAGAGUGGGAGGGACCUUCCCAGGGACACCACAGCAAGAUCCUGAGAAAGCCCACGAAAUUAAGCUGAAGCCUGUCAGCAGGGGCCCCACAGGGGUCCUCUUAUGGUGUGUGCAGCUCCUGCGCCCGUGCUGGCCUCUCCCUGCCCUGGAGAACCCAUGGCUUCCCUGAUUGUCACUGGCAGCGCCCUAUUCACAAAACAGCUGAAAGGACGUUUAAGACACAGAAGUGACCAACACCUGCUCCCAACACCCCCCCAACAGAAUCACAAGGCCAAGCCAGCUCCAGGAAGUAGCCCCUUCUGUUUCUCACUAGCCACGCCCAAUCCUGCCUUCUGACCUUUGUUCCUGCAGUUCCCUCGGCCUGGAGAAGGGCUGUCCUGGCCGGUGGCUGCUCACGUGUCACCUCUUAACUGGCUUGGCCAGGCCCUCAUAAUAACCUCAUCUAGGGGUUGAGAUUUCCACCUGGGCCACCCCCUGCUGCUUUCAUUAUAGGACACUGCCAGUCUCUAAUUAUCUUGUUUAUUAUGUCUCCCCGCCAGACUGGAAAACUCAAGAGGGUGUGGACUCUGUCCAGGGCCGAGCUCGGGGGCCAGGCACUCAAGAGGGACUCACUAAAUA
Long non-coding RNA from Mustela lutreola (European mink), 3354 nucleotides. RefSeq lists it as uncharacterized. The record is from RefSeq and is a predicted model, not a curated record. The transcript is spliced from 3 exons. Lineage: Eukaryota; Metazoa; Chordata; Mammalia; Carnivora; Mustelidae.